Oncorhynchus kisutch (coho salmon) is the source of this 63-nucleotide microRNA precursor. Ensembl annotates it as microRNA 16-1. The record is from Ensembl. NCBI's taxonomy places the organism in Eukaryota, Metazoa, Chordata, Actinopteri, Salmoniformes, Salmonidae.
UAGCAGCACGUAAAUAUUGGAGUUCACCACUGCUGAAGCCUCCAGUAUUGACGGUGCUGUUGA